RNAcentral lists this ribosomal RNA (423 nucleotides) under uncultured Glomeromycotina. RNAcentral describes it as "SSU rRNA". It matches the Rfam family "Eukaryotic small subunit ribosomal RNA", at positions 671 to 1092 of the family's 1831-position model. The record is from RNAcentral. Lineage: Eukaryota; Fungi; Glomeromycota.
CGGUACGUACUGGCAUUGUUGGUUUCUCCCUUCUGACGAACCAUGAUGUCAUUUAUUUGGUGUUGUGGGGAAUCAGGACUGUUACUUUGAAAAAAUUAGAGUGUUUAAAGCAGGCUCACGCUUGAAUACGUUAGCAUGGAAUAAUGAAAUAGGACGUUUGAUUCUAUUUUGUUGGUUUCUAGGAUCGACGUAAUGAUUAAUAGGGAUAGUUGGGGGCAUUAGUAUUCAAUUGUCAGAGGUGAAACUCUUGGAUUUAUUGAAGACUAACUACUGCGAAAGCAUUUGCCGAGGAUGUUUUCAUUAAUCAAGAACGAAAGUUAGGGGAUCGAAGACGACCAGAUACCGUCGUAGUCUUAACCAUAAACUAUGCCGACUAGGGAUCGGAUGAUGUUAAUUUUUUAAUGACUCAUUCGGCGCCUUACG